Molecule: ribosomal RNA, 465 nt
Filed under: uncultured bacterium
Lineage: Bacteria
Description: bacterial SSU rRNA
Rfam family: Bacterial small subunit ribosomal RNA
Source: RNAcentral
GAUGAACGCUGGCGGCGUGCCUAAUACAUGCAAGUCGAACGCAUUGUGGUUGAAAUGAUAUGAAGAACUUGUUCAGAUUUGAUUUUCAACAUUGCAAUGAGUGGCGAACGGGUGAGUAACACGUGGGAAACCUACCUCUUAGCAGGGGAUAACAUUUGGAAACAAAUGCUAAUACCCGUAUAAUAAUUAAAACCGCAUGGUUUUAGUUUAAAAGAUGGUCUUGCUAUCACUAAGAGAUGGUCCCGCGGUGUAUUAGUUAGUUGGUGAGGUAAUGGCUCACCAAGACAAUGAUACAUAGCCGAGUUGAGAGACUGACCGGCCACAAUGGGACUGAGACACGGCCCAUACUCCUACGGGAGGCAGCAGUAGGGAAUCUUCCACAAUGGACGAAAGUCUGAUGGAGCAACGCCGCGUGUGUGAAUGAACGGGUUUUCGGCUCGUAAAACACUGUUGUAAGAGAAGAAU